RNAcentral lists this ribosomal RNA (306 nucleotides) under uncultured bacterium. Its description in RNAcentral is "partial 16S ribosomal RNA". It matches the Rfam family "Bacterial small subunit ribosomal RNA", at positions 507 to 807 of the family's 1533-position model. The record is from RNAcentral.
GACAGCAGCAGCCGCGGUAAUACGAAGGGUGCAAGCGUUACUCGGAAUUACUGGGCGUAAAGCGUGCGUAGGUGGUGGUUUAAGUCCGUUGUGAAAGCCCUGGGCUCAACCUGGGAAUUGCAGUGGAUACUGGGUCACUAGAGUGUGGUAGAGGAUAGUGGAAUUUCCGGUGUAGCAGUGAAAUGCGUAGAGAUCGGAAGGAACAUCUGUGGCGAAGGCGACUAUCUGGGCCAACACUGACACUGAGGCACGAAAGCGUGGGGAGCAAACAGGAUUAGAUACCCGAGUAGUCCCUGUCUCUUAUAC